Molecule: ribosomal RNA, 434 nt
Filed under: uncultured bacterium
Lineage: Bacteria
Description: partial 16S ribosomal RNA
Rfam family: Bacterial small subunit ribosomal RNA
Source: RNAcentral
AGCGAACGCUGGCGGCAGGCCUAACACAUGCAAGUCGAACGAACCUUUCGGGGUUAGUGGCGGACGGGUGAGUAACACCUGGGAACGUGCCUUUAGGUUCGGAAUAACUCAGGGAAACUUGUGCUCAUACCGAAUGUGCCCUUCGGGGGAAAGAUUUAUUGCCUUUAGACCGGCCCGGGUCUGUUUAGCUAGUUGGUUGAGGUAAUGGCUCACCACGGCGACGUGCAGUAGCUGGUCUGGGAGGAUGAUCAGCCACAUUGGGACUGAGACACGGCCCAAACUCCUACGGGAGGCAGCAGUGGGGAAUCUUGCGCAAUGGGCGAAAGCCUGACGCAGCCAUGCCGCGUGAAUGAGGAAGGUCUUAGGAUUGUAAAAUUCUUUCACCGGGGACGAUAAUGACGGUACCCGGAGAAGAAGCCCCGGCUAACUUCGUG